UGGGGAAUAUUGGACAAUGGGGGGAACCCUGAUCCAGCCAUGCCGCGUGUGUGAAGAAGGCCUUAUGGUUGUAAAGCACUUUAAGCGAGGAGGAGGGUACUGGUAUUAGUACUACCAGGUACUGGACGUUACUCGCAGAAUAAGCACCGGCUAACUCUGUGCCAGCAGCCGCGGUAAUACAGAGGGUGCGAGCGUUAAUCGGAUUUACUGGGCGUAAAGCGUGCGUAGGCGGCUAAUUGAGUCGGAUGUGAAAUCCCCGAGCUUAACUUUGGGAUUGCAUUCGAUACUGGUUAGCUAGAGUGUGGGAGAGGAUGGUAGAAUUCCGGGUGUAGCGGUGAAAUGCGUAGAGAUCUGGAGGAAUACCGAUGGCGAAGGCAGCCAUCUGGCCUAUCACUGACGCUGAGGUACGAAAGCAUGGGGAGCAAACAGG
RNAcentral lists this ribosomal RNA (430 nucleotides) under Pseudomonadota bacterium. RNAcentral describes it as "Proteobacteria bacterium partial 16S ribosomal RNA". It matches the Rfam family "Bacterial small subunit ribosomal RNA", at positions 355 to 776 of the family's 1533-position model. Lineage: Bacteria; Pseudomonadati; Pseudomonadota. The record is from RNAcentral.